RNAcentral lists this ribosomal RNA (472 nucleotides) under uncultured bacterium. Its description in RNAcentral is "bacterial SSU rRNA". It matches the Rfam family "Bacterial small subunit ribosomal RNA", at positions 335 to 799 of the family's 1533-position model. The record is from RNAcentral.
ACUCCUACGGGAGGCAGCAGUGGGGAAUAUUGCACAAUGGGCGCAAGCCUGAUGCAGCCAUGCCGCGUGUAUGAAGAAGGCCUUCGGGUUGUAAAGUACUUUCAGCAGUGAGGAAGGCGGAGUCGUUAAUAGCGGCCUCGUUUGACGUUAGCUGCAGAAGAAGCACCGGCUAACUCCGUGCCAGCAGCCGCGGUAAUACGGAGGGUGCGAGCGUUAAUCGGAAUUACUGGGCGUAAAGCGCAUGCAGGUGGUUUGUUAAGUCAGAUGUGAAAGCCCGGGGCUCAACCUCGGAAUUGCAUUUGAAACUGGCAGACUAGAGUACUGUAGAGGGGGGUAGAAUUUCAGGUGUAGCGGUGAAAUGCGUAGAGAUCUGAAGGAUACCGGUGGCGAAGGCGGCCCCCUGGACAGAUACUGACACUCAGAUGCGAAAGCGUGGGGAGCAAACAGGAUUAGAUACCCUGGUAGCACAGAG